This 335-nucleotide unclassified non-coding RNA is filed under the name uncultured fungus. Its description in RNAcentral is "sequence contains ITS1". Lineage: Eukaryota; Fungi. The record is from RNAcentral.
AAUCCGAGAAUUUCACCUCUGACAAUUAAAUACGAAUGCCCCCAACUGUCCCUAUUAAUCAUUACUCUGAACUCAAACCAACAAAUAGUUCAAAGUCCUAUUCCAUUAUUCCAUGCUGGAGUAUCCAAGCGAUUGCCUGCCUGGAGCACUCUAAUUUUUUCACAGUAAAAUGUAGGUUCCACACGCCGCCCAUUGAAGUGCGCACGUGAUUCCCCUACGGAUGACCAAGCCCAACCGACCGACUACAGCCAAGCCGGGGACUGGCCAGAAAAUCAACUACGAGCUUUUUAACUGCAACAACUUUAAUAUACGCUAUUGGAGCUGGAAUUACCGCG